CUUCGUGCCCAUAGCGGCGUGGACCCACCCGAUCCCAUCCCGAACUCGGAAGUUAAGCACGCCAGCGCCAAUGGUACUCGGGAGGCAGCUCCCCGGAAGAGUAGGACAGCGCGAAGA
RNAcentral lists this ribosomal RNA (117 nucleotides) under Pseudomonadota bacterium. Lineage: Bacteria; Pseudomonadati; Pseudomonadota. The record is from RNAcentral.